RNAcentral lists this ribosomal RNA (496 nucleotides) under uncultured bacterium. RNAcentral describes it as "partial 16S ribosomal RNA". It matches the Rfam family "Bacterial small subunit ribosomal RNA", at positions 29 to 507 of the family's 1533-position model. The record is from RNAcentral.
AUGAACGCUGGCGGCGUGCCUAAUACAUGCAAGUCGAGCGAACAGACGAGGAGCUUGCUCCUCUGACGUUAGCGGUGGACGGGUGAGUAACCCGUGGAUAACCUACCUAUAAGACUGGGAUAACUUCGGGAAACCGGAGCUAAUACCGGAUAAUAUAUUGAACCGCAUGGUUCAAUAGUUAAAGACUGUUUUGCUGUCACUUAUAGAUGGAUCCGCGCCGCAUUAGCUAGUUGGUAAGGUAACGGCUUACCAAGGCAACGAUGCGUAGCCGACCUGAGAGGGUGAUCGGCCACACUGGAACUGAGACACGGUCCAGACUCCUACGGGAGGCAGCAGUAGGGAAUCUUCCGCAAUGGGCGAAAGCCCGACGGAGCAACGCCGCGUGAGUGAUGAAGGUCUUCGGAUCGUAAAACUCUGUUAUUAGGGAAGAACAAAUGUGUAAGUAACUAUGCACGUCUUGACGGUACCUAAUCAGAAAGCCACGGCUAACUACGUG